This 510-nucleotide ribosomal RNA is filed under the name uncultured bacterium. Its description in RNAcentral is "partial 16S ribosomal RNA". It matches the Rfam family "Bacterial small subunit ribosomal RNA", at positions 28 to 522 of the family's 1533-position model. The record is from RNAcentral.
GAUGAACGCUGGCGGCAUGCCUAAUACAUGCAAGUCGAACGAGAGGAAGGAAAGCUUGCUUUUCUGAAUCUAGUGGCGAACGGGUGAGUAACACGUAGGUAACCUGCCCAUGUGCCCGGGAUAACUUCUGGAAACGGAUGCUAAAACCGGAUAGGUAGCAGACAAGCAUUUGACUGCUAUUAAAGUGGCUAAGGCCAUGAACAUGGAUGGACCUGCGGUGCAUUAGCUAGUUGGUGAGGUAACGGCCCACCAAGGCGACGAUGCAUAGCCGGCCUGAGAGGGCGGACGGCCACAUUGGACUGAGACACGGCCCAAACUCCUACGGGAGGCAGCAGUAGGGAAUUUUUGUCAAUGGGGGGAACCCUGAACGAGCAAUGCCGCGUGAGUGAGGAAGGUCUUCGGAUCGUAAAGCUUUGUUGUAAGAGAAAAACGACAUUCAUAGGGAAUGAUGAGUGAGUGAUGGUAUCUUACCAGAAAGUCACGGCUAACUACGUGCCAGCCGCCGCAGAA